This 804-nucleotide long non-coding RNA is filed under the name Volvox carteri. Its description in RNAcentral is "long non-coding RNA (VCAR_LNC001668)". The record is from RNAcentral. Lineage: Eukaryota; Viridiplantae; Chlorophyta; Chlorophyceae; Chlamydomonadales; Volvocaceae.
GACCGAAAUUAUGCCCUCCCGCAGCCGUAGAAACCGAUUUGCCGACCUCUGAACAUGAUUGAGAACUUGUACGGCGUGGCAGAAUUUGCGGCGAUGCUGACCAUGGACCUGGCUACGGCAUAUCGGGGUCUAUCGUUGCUGCCUGCCGUACUUGACAGAAAUGACACGCAGGGCACGGCAAGAACACAUGCCAUCAUAUCUGGUUGAGGUUGAGAACCAUUCCGGUUACCGAUCAACAGCAGACGUACGCGGAUAGUUAUCACAGCUACGUUAGCACAUACAUUCCCCAAACAUGCGGGAAUCCUUGCCGCUGAACUGAAAUCUCUCAAUUUCUCUAUCUCUCGCCCAGUACCGGUAUACCAAUGUUUCCACAAUUGCACGGUUCGGAACAAAUAGUGCAGAUAAAUGCAAUAAUUCGGCCACCAUUAUGGCUGCCACGGUUUGGCGUGCAGGGGUUGGUGCUGGCUGGCUGGCUGGCUGGCUGGCUGGCUGGCUCCUUUGUGCAAUCUGGUCUUCUUAUCGAUAAGCCAGCAAACCGGCACGAUGAGCGGCCGCGGUCGGGACCUUGGUCGACGCAAUUGCUAUGCGUGGUAAUGUGCAGGGCCAAGCACGGCGAGUAAACGCCGCUAUAAACCAAUUUUUCACUGGUGAAGAGCCUGUAUACAGUAAGCCUUACCUUGCUUGGCCUGCGUCGCCAGCAGCAGUGACUGUGCCGCCGACCCUGCUGGCGGUUUGCAUCUCUCAGAAUAUCGGUGACACGCUUGACACGUCAGUGAUCCCAUGAUGGGAAGUCUUAUCUUCAAA